This is a long non-coding RNA of Salvelinus namaycush (lake trout), 558 nucleotides long. RefSeq lists it as uncharacterized. The transcript is spliced from 4 exons. The record is from RefSeq and is a predicted model, not a curated record. NCBI's taxonomy places the organism in Eukaryota, Metazoa, Chordata, Actinopteri, Salmoniformes, Salmonidae.
UUUAGAACUUUUUGAUAUUACAAGGACUCCGUGUUUCGUGUAGGCUUACCCCGGCACGACGUUUUAAUUAACCGGUCAAAUCUCUCUCAGACAAGAUGGGCGGACCGGAAACCCAAUGACAACACUCGGGUCUGUAGCUGCCAUUUUCCCUUGGGGAAAGAGAAAUAGCUCUGUAUUUACCAGAUAAGGAAGCUCAUCCACCAUGACAGAAGAGGAAGAUCCAGACUGUUGAUUGGGAAACAAGAACAAACAAUGAGGAUUUCGAUGUUGAGGGACCACUUGUCACAUUUUCCAAGGAGGUCCAACAGGAGUGCUACACUCAAGGACAUCCUGUGCCAAUGUGAUCCGAGCGCGAGCAUCUAGUUGUAGAGACUACAGCAGAUCGAGCCUGUGGACGGACAGACACCAGGCGUAACAUGCGGAACAUCAGGCUCACCCCACGAGAAGCAAUGCAUGAUCAACACCACCCUCAGCCAGGAGACCUGUUGGAAGUCAUGUUCUCUCUCACUCUGGGGGGGGGGGUAAGACAUGCAUGAUCAACACCCCCCUCAGCCAGGA